GUCUGCCUAUACCAGUCAGUGUGUGUGUGAGAGGGUCAUACAGAGCAAGGCUCUUCUGAGCAUCAGUCUCUCAGCUGUUGAUCAUGAAUAAACCACUAAUGAAAGAGAUGCACACUUUUGGGGAGCAGGAGACCAGUAACCAGUCGAGUCCCAGCAAGAAACCUACACCGCCAAAGCCUCAGAAUGCCAUCACCAUCGCCGUGUCCUCCCGUGCUCUCUUCAAUAUGGAUCGAGAGCAGGACAUUUAUGAGCAGCAGGGAAUGGAGGAUUACCUGAAAUAUCAGAUCCAACAUGAGAUCGAGCCAUUUGCACCCGGACCUGCAUUGCCCUUCAUUAAGGCAGUGGAGGCAGUGAACACUCGACUCAGGGAGCUUUAUCCAGACAGUGAAGAGCUCUUUGAUGUGGUUCUGAUGACCAGCAAUCAUGCUCAUGUGGGACUUCGGCUCAUAAAUUCAAUUAACCAUUACCAGCUAUUUAUAGAGCGCUUUUGUAUGACUGGUGGCAACAGUCUUAUUGGGUAUCUGAAAGCCUACCAUGCCAACCUUUAUCUGUCAGCUGAUUCAAUGAAAGUUAGAGAAGCCAUUGAAGAAGGAAUUGCAGCAGCAACAGUAUUCUCACCUGGAAAAAUCACAGAGUUGUCGGAGACUCAGCUGCGAGUGGCCUUCGAUGGAGAUGCCGUUCUCUUUUCAGAUGAGUCAGAGAUAAUCUACAAAGCCCACGGACUGGACAAGUUCUAUGAGCAUGAGAAAGCCCAUGAAAAUAAACCUCUUGAUCAUGGACCACUUAAGGGGUUCUUGGAAGCUCUAGGGAAGCUGCAGCAAAAAUUCUAUGCCAAAGGUCAGCGCCUGGACUGUCCCAUCCGCACCUAUUUGGUUACAGCUCGCAGUGCAGCCAGUUCAGGCACCCGGGCCCUCAAGACGUUACGCUCCUGGGGUCUGGAGACAGAUGAGGCCCUCUUCCUAGCAGGAGCCCCUAAAGGCCCCAUGCUGGAAAAGAUCAGACCUCAUAUCUUCUUUGACGAUCAAAUGUUCCACGUGAAGGGAGCGGCAGAACUUGGGACUGUGGCGGCUCAUGUUCCCUAUGGAAUUGCCCAGAAGAGUCAAUCAAAGACAGCGAGGGAUGUAAAAAAAGACAUGCCAGAGUGAAUACUGCUCUCCUCAUCCUGAGUGUGAAAGUUUAUAUAAGGUUUUAAAGGGAUGUUUCACCCCAAAAUUUAAAAUCUCUCAUCAUUUACUCCUAGAUUUACACAUCCAACCUGUGUGAGUUUAUUUCUUCUGUUCAGCCCAGAAGAUAUUCAGAAGAAAUGUUAGUAACCAAACAGCUGAUGGUAGCCAUUGACUUUCAUAGUAUGGAAAAAAUAAAAGUACUAUGGAAGUCAGUGGCUACCAGCCAUUUUUGAUAAUUAAAUAAAGUGUUAAAAUAACCAGUGUUGCUUUUCCAGCUUCCAAACAUAGGCCAGUUUGUUAGUGGCAGACCCUUUGCACUGAACAUCAUAGUUUUGAAGUUGUUUACUACAUUAUAUCAAGCCAUAAAAAAAGAAAACUAGGCAAUAGUUGGUAUUAUACUGUUGAGUUAAAUUGUUACACUUUCUGUUCUAAUGUAAUAGCAAAUGUUAUUUAUUUUAUUAUGCCAGAGUCUAGCUAAAGCUAAAAUGCACCAAAUGCGUGUUGGAUAUCAUAAAUAUAGCCUUUAGCCAUGCACAUUUUCAGCUUUUAUAUUAUAAUGGUCUGGUUUUGAAUCACCAUCUCUGUUCUUGUUUACUGUAAAGGGCUUUUUUACACUCUGUAUUGAAACCUUUAUGUGUGUUAAGACCUACAUCAGUUCUUCAGUGUUUAAAUCCAUCAGUGUUACACAUUUACACAUUGGUUCAUGUGUUUGUGAAAUCCUGUGUGUUACUCAGGGCAUGCUUAAGUCAGUGUUUUGCACUAAUCACCAUAUUAAACAGUGAAUAAACAGUA
This is an RNA transcript of Carassius carassius (crucian carp), 1958 nucleotides long. It is a transcript of the gene named 5'-nucleotidase, cytosolic IAb, with no coding region annotated. NCBI's taxonomy places the organism in Eukaryota, Metazoa, Chordata, Actinopteri, Cypriniformes, Cyprinidae. The transcript has 7 exons. The record is from RefSeq and is a predicted model, not a curated record.